CUUUUCCAGCCUUAAUGAUUCCAUGGUUCUGAAAAUAGUGUUGAGUCAUGGCCAGAUUAGGGAUACUCAUCCCUUGCACCUCUUAAGUGCCUCUGGAUGCCUUCUCUGCGCAGAUCCUCAGCGUGCCAGCCCAGCUCAUGCCCAGGGGGAAGGUGACUGCAUGACCCCAGGGCAUUCUGGCCAUGGUGUGCCCCAUGCCUGGGUGCCAGCUGCAGUCCCCACAGCCACCUCCUCCACAGCUCCCAAAUUAUCCCACUGCACGGCGUGCGAGGCACGAGCAAACCUGCGACAGAGACAUGGGAUGGCAGGAUGGGACAGCUGAUUUUAAUUAUUUUAUAUAUAAAUAACUUGCAGAUAAUUUGCAAGUUUGGCAAUAGCUGCCGGCGUAGCAAUGUGACCUUGUUACUCUUACCCCAUUCCUCCGGGUGUUUGUCUCACUCACUUGUUUUUUCGUGUCUUAAAUUAGAUUGCAAGUGGUCAGGGAAGGGGCUGGGGCCACCCCUGCCCCACACAGCCCCACGGUCCCACAGCAGCAACAACAACAAAUGGGGAUAAGACAUCGAUUUGGGAUCUGCUGAGUCCCUGGGGAUAUGAAAACUCCAAGUGUUGUGUUUUUCCCUGGGAUGGGCUUUUCAGCCCCCAUCCUCCAGCUCCACGUGAGGCUCUUUGCUGGCGGCCGGGCACAAGGCAGGGGCUGCCUCAUCAUUCCAGAGGGAUGUAGGGAUGAGGAGGGGGACGGGUGUCCUGGAUUUUAGCACUUUGGGGAGUUUAUUAGUGUUGACAGUGUGUGAACUUGACAUCCUUUGUAAUAAUGCGGUUUUAAAAUCUGCAUUAUUCAUGCGCGCUGUUUGAAUACAGGCCCACUGUGUAAGUUCAGGAGGAAAAUUAAUUAAAUAAAUGUCAGCAUCCUUGAAGAGCACGUGAGAUUUCACAUUGCAGGAUAACAGCUCUGGCUGCUUUAACCACCAAAGGGAGUAAAGGGUGGGAAGGGGAAGAUCUGCACUUAGGUGAAUAGACUUGCCCUCACUGAUUCCUGAGGAAAGCUGAAAAGAUUAGAAAGAAAUCAGUCCAGCCACAAAGAUCACUAAUAUUUCAUAUUUUUAUUAAUAAUUGUCAUUGGUUCUACUAUUUAUUUAUAUACACUGGAUAGUUCUGAAUUAUUUUUUCCCAGGAAACACCCAUUUAGUCUAAGGUUAAGGUUUAAAAUAAAAGCAUAGAGCAGAUGCCUGAGGAUGCACUGGCUGGAUAAAUUGGACAACUCUACCAGUGGGUGGAAAGGGAAUUACAUCCAUGAAUAUUAUUUGCAAGAGUAACAGAUAGUUAGAAAAGUUGUGUUUCUGCUGAAGCACCCAGGAAAGGGUGAUGGGACAAAAGCUGCCAGGAUAGAUGAACAGGAAAUAAAGGUUUUAUGUGAAGCUUGUAGGUAUUUUUAAUGAGGAGGAUUUACCUUUAAUUCUGUAGCAGGAGGUUGAACCUUUCCAGGCUGGGAAUGGCAGCAGGACUGACCAGGAAUGCUUUUUUGAACACAGGGCUCCUGCAGAGCCUGUUAGUUUAGUUAACUACUAACUUGGUAGUUAAAAAUUAGAAAAAGAAAGAAAAUUUUACUUGUUAGGUCAAAUCAAGACUUUGUUCUGGUUGCUGUAGUUUUCUCAGAAGGAAGGGAACAACUUCCAUCUUGUUGAAAGAAGGUGUAGGUAUCCAUCCCUGAUGGAGAUCACUGAGCUCUCAUACCAAGCACUUGACUUUCCUGGGGCUUGGUGUUUACCCUCCAAAUUCUUUAAUACCUCUGUGCAGGACCUUCCCAGUAAAGUGUGUUUAAUAGAAUCCUAAAAUCCCAGAAUGAUUUGUAUUUGAAGAGAUCUUAAAACUUCUCUCAUUCCACCCCCUGCCAUGGGCAGGGACACCUUCCACUAUCCCAGGGUGGUCCAAGCAUUGUCCAGCCUGGCCUUGGACACUUCCAGGGAUGGGGUAACAACAGUUUCUCUGGACAACCUGUGCCAGGGGCUCACCACCUUCAAAAGGGAGAAAUUUCUGUUAAAUGGGAGAAGCUUUUCUUCCAAAGUGAGCAGGGCAGGGCACUAAAGGGCUCGUUUGCAUUGACAUGAGGAUCAGGAGUUGCUCUUGAGGUGGGUGCAGUGAGUGGCUGGGAUGGUCUGUGGUAUGCUGCACCUGUGAAAUAAGCUGGAAAAAAAAAGGAAUUGGGAGUGCCACAGUGAUUGUGCACAGGUCUACUCCCAAAGUCAAGUGUACAUAAAGUCCUUGCAGCACUCCAGUGAUUUUGAAUUGCUUGACAUUGUGGGAGCGCUCCAAUCUCGGUCUCUUUGAACCUCAAGAGCCUCGGUGUUAUCUGAAGCACAGAAUCAUUUUAUAACCCAGGCAAACAACAUCCUCACCUCCCAGGUUUGAAUGUGAGGAUGUGUGGUUACACACACCCGUGCUCACAGUUUAAUGCACAGGGCGGGGGGAGAGCGAGGAAUCCGUGCCAGCAGGAGAGCCCAGAAUGCACUUUCCCACUAAUGCUGAGAAGCAACAAAAUCAGGUUGCAGGCCAUGAAUGUCCUGUCACUGAGAAAGGGGAGUUUAGAAAUAGGCCCACAGAUAAAGGAGGGCAUUUAUCCCCACGAUUGUUUGGCAGAAAAAGCAAUUUCCAUAGUCUGCUGAUGGUCAGUCAGGAACGUGCUGCAAGGGGCCCACAGUUGUCUCGGAUGGAGCUGACGGUUUUACUGGCCGAGUUUUGUUUCAACUUAAUGAAGUAAGUACUUUGCCUGCAUCCAGGCACAGACGGGGAAGGUUUGUAAACUCCUCGCCUUUGUUGGGGUGACUGAAGUAUUUUUUUCUUCUUUUUAACCAGCCAUUUUUGUUUCUUCUCAAAUUCCUUGCCAUUGACAAAGGGUGCGUUUACUGUUAAAAAAAAAAAAAAAAAGGAAGGAAGAAAAAGGCUUUAAACCUGGUUUGCAUCUUGAAUCCUGAAAAGCCCAUUUUUUAUGCAGGGGAAGAAGAGAGCCUUAGAAAAGGCAGGAGGCAGGGACGGAGGUGAGGGGGUGGGGAGCUGGAGAUUUAUGUCCCUUUGAAGACAGCUUUUCUGCCCAGCAUCCUGCCCGGGUACCGUGGGCUGCAGUGGUGGGACCAGGCUGGAACCUGCACCUCGCCAGGAGCCAGACCCAGCAGGGACCCAGUGGGGACACAGGUCCUGCCGGAUCCCCAGGACCUCCCAGGGCCACUGAUCCUACACCCACCCCAGCCAGCAUGGAUGUUUAGCUUGAGAUCAUCACACAGCCUGAGGUUUUUGAGGUGGUUUUUCUUUUUUUAACUUGAUGUGGAAGCGGUUGUUUGAUACCAGCCUGUGCUGGAGCACAGCAGCCUGCCCAUGCUCCAGGAGAGGGGCGCAUGGGCAGCCCGAAUCCUGCUCAGCAAUACAAUAAUAAUUGAAGAUAUUUAAAAAUGUAUGUAUCUUCCAUCUUUCCCAUAUGGGCUCCUUAGGCAACAUGACCUUAUGUGGCCAUUAUCUGACCUCUCUUACACUUGGAUUACUCGGUACAAAGCAAAUUUAUGGUUGUUUAUUCUCUCCUCCUAUCAGCUAUUAGUGCCUAAUCAUAUGGUCUAUCGAUCAAGUGAUUAAUCGCCUGCCUAAAGAGGCAGCAGGUCCCGGGGAAUGCUGCACUGCACCAGCCUGAACUUCAACCUCUUAUACAAACCGGCGGAGUAAAGGCAUUAGUCACUGCCUGCAGCCCGGGGCUGGAAUGCCGCGGGAACGCCAGGAGGUAAAGCCCCGGCUUUCUUCAGCAGCCGACUUUGUAUUUCCCUUUCUUAAUGGAUAAAACUCCACCUAACUGAGCGGGCAUACAGUUGUAAAUGGGAUGAUUUCCAAUGCAUCCUAUAAAUAAUGAUCAAAGAGGAAAAUAUGUGGGCCUUAUUACAACAGUGCCCGCUAGUGCUGCUAUAAUUAAGGGUCUGUCAGCAUUUCUAUUAUAAACCCUUAUUUUCAAGGGUUUAUAACUCGGCCAUAAAAUUUUGCUCUGGCUGAGACUUGGCAUAAAACGUCCCAGCAUGUGACCAGUUUUUCUUGUUACCAAAUUGUUAAAAACCUAGCGAUCAGCCCCUUUUUAGUUAUAACAACAUCCAAGCACCUUUGUGUUUCAGAACCACUUUUACUUCUUAAACAAGCCGCUUACUAUUAAAUCAAAAUUAGCAUUUGAAAUCAAAAGUACGCACUGAGCCUCUCUGCUCUUUAUUUUAACCAGCCCUAAAAAAGGAACAUGUUAUUCCCUUCUGCCUGGGGUUAGGUUGAUGGCACCCACGCCGUUGCCAUCAGUGGGACACGCUGUGGCCAGAGUCUUGGAAGGGUCUUAGAGGGUGCAGGGCUGGCAUUGGGUCCUCAGCUUGUCCAGCUUUGCAGGGCUCCCUGGUUUUCCAUGUGCUCAAAGCAGCAAAUAGUAAAACCAGUAGGCUGAUUUCAGCCAUCAAUGAUUCUGUAUAAAUCCAGAGUACUGGAAAUGGGAGCCCUGGACACUCCAGUUUAGCCGAAGUGCUGACCUGCCUUAAGUGGAUUUAUUCCUCUGUGAUCCAUGCACAUUAACUCCUGCUAAUGAGAAUUAUGGCUUAGUCCAAGGGGGGAAUCUAGAGUUCAGUUUGAGCGAAACUGAGGGAAUUUCACUCUAAGAACACAUACUAAAUUUUAAAAAUGAAAGGUUGCCAUACCUGUACUUCUCUGGUUUCAACGGGAGUAUGUUCCAUUUCCAGAAACAUGUCCUUGAUUUGUUAGCAAAGGACAGCAAGUUGGCUCAAAAAGAUGCAGCCACUUAAAAACAUUGAUUCUCCCAGGACAACACGCCAAAAUGCAGAAAUAAAUUAAACAUAAGCAGAUGCUGUACCUCCUUUCCAUUUUUGGCUAGCACGUCCCAUUGUGGGACUACUAGUGGGACAACUGAGAAUGACUGACAUUUACUCAAACUUAAGGCCUUCUUGGACUGUCCUGGCAAAAGUGACAAAAAUUCAGGCUUGUGCUAGUAUUACAUCUGAAUGUUUCACUGACUUCUUAAGGCAUGUAUUACAUCAGUAUACUUUAUCUUCCAUGCCAGUUUUAUACUACUUCUCUGUCUUAAAAGGACCUGAUCAAGUUUGCUAACAUCAUCUUGGAUUUUCAAAGGAGCACUAGGGAAAUAUGGACCCAAACUCCUGUUGAAAAUCCCCACCUCAAAACUCCCCCCGCAGAGUUCUUACCCUGGCAGGGAUCCCACAGCUAAGCUCUUUCCAUUUCCAGAAAAAUCAUUGAGCUGAGGCUAAGAACACUCAUCUGGUGCCUGUCGAGUGUAUUGUCUGAAUAUAAACACAAUGAUUCUGGAGCAGGGAAAGAGCCUGAGACUUAAAUGGAUUUACACUGACUAAGAACCUGGCCUUCCACACUCGACUUCUGACAUUACUUGAAAGUAAACAUUGAUCUCAACUAUUUUGUGAUUUACACAGUGGUUUAAGAUGCGUGCAGUGACCAGGCAGUUGCUCUUACUGUAAGCCUUACCAGGUUUGAUGUUUUCCUUAAGGUUCCAGGUAACCAAAAAUUUCCAUGUGUAUCUCAGCUGCCAUAAAAAGAAAAAAAAAAAAAAAAGAAAAAAAAGAAGAAAAAAGAUGAAAGCUCAAGUUUCUGACUCUUGAGAAAAGCCUGAAAAUGUUCCUCGUCUGCACUUUAACGGCUCAGAAAGCAGAAGGCAAAGAGAAAAAAAGGAGUUUGAAAAUGCCAUGCUUUUUGAGAUGUGACAUAUGCUUUUGCUGUGCUCCGGGUUGGCAGGAGGCGUUGCAUGGUGGAUGCAGCCCCGCCAGAAAGCAGGUGCGGGAGCCCGAGCGAGCGGCGCUCCCUCCGUUCCGCUGGAGUCGGAGCCAUCCAGUCGCUUUUCCUUACUCCUGUGCCCCACUGAGCAGCAGAUUGUCUGCAGGAGAUGGGAUAAAUAGUUGUGGAUGUGCCCUGAAAUCAUCGUGUUGGGUGGUUAACAUGGGAGCCCCUACUGAAGGGCUCGUGCUGUUACCCUGCGGUGACGAGUCAUGAGUUUUGUGUCUCAGAGCUGCAGGAGGGCCAGAAAUGCCAGGACAGAAAUAAAUCCACCUGCUGGGCAACCCAAGACUCUCACUUUCAUGUGCUGCAGGUCAAAGACUGUGGGUGAGCGGUUUUCAGGAUGACAGUGGUGACCCAGGUGCUCCUCCAGCCUGGCACAGCACAGAGCUGGAUGUGAUGUGGGUUCCCAGGGAAUCCCCCAUGGGCUGUUCCAGGGGGCUGUUUCUUCUCCAGCCUGGGGUUUGGCUAAUGGAGCAGUGUGUGUGCCCCAGGGUCCAUGGGGCCCCUCCAGUCACCUUUCACCAGACUGUCCCUAAGCUGGAGGGUCUCUGCAGUGAUGCUCCUUGAAGUCUUUGGUCCCAUCUCUCCAUGUCUUCUGCAGGGAUACAAAAUCUGGGACCCCUCUCACAUCUGUAGUGUUGCUGUGGGCGGCUCCUGCUCAAGGACAAAGCAGGAUAUCCCCUUUGCCCCCUUGUUCUCACUGAGAGUGUUACUUUACCUAACUUUAAAUGAGGGAAGGCUCUUCUGCACAGCACAUUUUUGGUUACAUGGCAGAGAAGAGCCAAGGUCUAUCUCCAUGUGGCCCUUCUCCAUGUGGGCUCCUGCAAGCAGAGCACCCAGGGCACAGCCUGGGCAGCUGCAAAUUGCUUUUCCAAAGCCAUCAAGGGAGUUCUGUAAAUUUACUCUGGACUGGUAAUUCCCUUCUUCCCUGUUCCCUGAGUCCUGGAAAUGCUUUUCUCCUUAUGUGAAAAGUGAACCAAAGAUUUUACAAACACUGAGUCUGGCCCCUUAAAUAUGAUAAUUUUAAAAAGUUCAGCAAAAUCCAGGGGCUGGGGGCAGGCAGGGGGGGUUGAUGUUCCUUAUCGAGGGGAGGAAUGAUGGGUUAGCAGCAAUUCCUUCCUCGCAGUUAGUCUGGGUACCAUUGGAAGCAGAAUUUGUCAGUUCUGAAGUGCACAGAUUAGAAAGGAAUGUGGAAUUUGGAAACGUGGCAGCUUGUAGCACUGUAUGGUUUAAAUUAAACCUUUUUUUGGAAAGCAGAAUCGCUGUAGGCCACAUUUAGGGGGAAAGCAACAGCAGAGAGGGCUGGCUGUGGUUUUUGCUUUGCUGUGUAACUGGUCCACUUUCUCUUGUUUUAACACAGAGGUUUUUUUUUUACAUUUAAAAAAAAAAAAAAAGAGGAAAAAUAUAUGCCUCUGGCCUCCUUCUGCCCAACCACAGCCUUCACUGCUGACCACAAAGAGGAAGCCUGGGGAAGCAGCCAUAGGAUUAAUACCCACUGUCUCUUAACCCAACAGGGUGUGAAAACAUUUUAUAAAACAUCUUUUUUUUUUAUUUUUUUUCCUCUUUCAGAUGGAUAGCGUGGCUGGGAUUUAGACAUCUUGAAACAAGCACAUGGUUGCCUUUGCCUUGCAUUGUGCUUCUCAGAGGGGGGAGGUCCUAAAUCACCCUGGCCAGAUCUGUUGUUUAAAAUCUGUUUACACCCAUCUCCAGAGCUUUCUCCUUGCAAAUCAUCAACAACUUUGUUGGUCUCACUGAAAUGGCAGGAAAUAUAAAAAUGAGUCUGCUGCGAGGGCUGCGCGGUGUAGAUCUUGAUCAGUUGGAAUAUAAUUGUUCCUAAUGAAAUGGAGACGCCUAGCUCUUAACUGAACAGCCUUUGCUUCUUUAGAAAUAAUAAGAUUAAGAUUAUGGAUUCUAUUAAUCAUUUGAUCAGCUUUAUUCAUUCAUCUUAUUUCCUUUACAUGCAAAAAAGCCCUGCUCUCUCCAUGCCUUUAUCUUUUAAGAUGAUGACAUUUACAUAUUUCCCGGCGCUGGAACGUCCCGGGCGUAAUAUACAGAUUGCUCCGCUUGGAUCUUGUAAACUGACUAUUUCCAUGUGCUAAGUACUCUCGGUGAUGAAGAUCUUAAUAAUGUGAUUAACUAAAUUGUGUCUUUAUGCUCUUCCUCGCGCCUCCCUCCCUUCCCCACCACGGCCUCCCAGCCGCCGCGCUUACCACAAAUGGCAUCAGCUGCCGGGACGUGCCUGCGGUGGUGACCCCGGUGACAAGGAGGUGUCACAUAGCACAGAGCAGAGAGGUCUGUGUGCCUCGGAGUCAGGGUGUAAUUCAGAUGACCUGUGCAUUAAGGGAAUCUGCUUUCCUGGCGUUAUGCGGGAAAGAUGCUGAAAGCAGGAGUUUGGAAACGUUGAGGGAAUUAUUAGAUGAGAAAUUUGUUCCUCCGCAGCGUAGUGACAGCAUUGUUAUUUCUUGCUUGGAUGUGCUGUUGGGAAGGUUUGAUUUUGUUGUCAUUAGAGAAAUCUCUCUGUUGUUAUAACGCUUUCUAUGUGUGAAGAAAUACAGACAUAAUGUGUAUCUAGUCCAUUAAAACACUCUUUCGGAGCCUC
Molecule: long non-coding RNA, 8422 nt
Organism: Parus major (Great Tit)
Lineage: Eukaryota; Metazoa; Chordata; Aves; Passeriformes; Paridae
Exons: 2
Source: RefSeq, a predicted model, not a curated record